Molecule: ribosomal RNA, 499 nt
Filed under: uncultured bacterium
Lineage: Bacteria
Description: partial 16S ribosomal RNA
Rfam family: Bacterial small subunit ribosomal RNA
Source: RNAcentral
GACGAACGCUGGCGGCGUGCCUAAUACAUGCAAGUCGAGCGAAGUUUUUCUGGUGCUUGCACUAGAAAAACUUAGCGGCGAACGGGUGAGUAACACGUAAAGAACCUGCCUCAUAGACUGGGACAACUAUUGGAAACGAUAGCUAAUACCGGAUAACAGCAUUAACUGCAUGGUUGAUGUUUAAAAGUUGGUUUUGCUAACACUAUGAGAUGGCUUUGCGGUGCAUUAGCUAGUUGGUGGGGUAAAGGCCUACCAAGGCGACGAUGCAUAGCCGACCUGAGAGGGUGAUCGGCCACGCUGGGACUGAGACACGGCCCAGACUCCUACGGGAGGCAGCAGUAGGGAAUCUUCCGCAAUGGGCGAAAGCCUGACGGAGCAACGCCGCGUGAGUGAAGAAGGAUUUCGGUUCGUAAAGCUCUGUUGUUAGGGAAGAAUGAUUGUGUAGUAACUAUACACAGUAGAGACGGUACCUAACCAGAAAGCCACGGCUAACUACGUG